Molecule: ribosomal RNA, 301 nt
Filed under: uncultured bacterium
Lineage: Bacteria
Description: partial 16S ribosomal RNA
Rfam family: Bacterial small subunit ribosomal RNA
Source: RNAcentral
CAGCCGCCGCGGGAAUACGAAGGGGGCGAGCGUUGCUCGGAAUGACUGGGCGUAAAGGGCGCGUAGGUGGCGUGCACAGUCAGAUGUGAAAUUCCUGGGCUCAACCUGGGGGCUGCAUUUGAUACGUGCGUGCUAGAGUGUGGAAGAGGGUCGUGGAAUUCCCAGUGUAGAGGUGAAAUUCGUAGGUAUUGGGAAGAACACCGGUGGCGAAGGCGGCGACCUGGUCCAUUACUGACGCUGAGGCGCGAAAGCGUGGGGAGCAAACAGGAUUAGAUACCCCAGUAGUCCCUGUCUCUUAUAC